This 149-nucleotide unclassified non-coding RNA is filed under the name soil metagenome. Its description in RNAcentral is "partial internal transcribed spacer 1". The record is from RNAcentral.
CCGAGUUUACAACUCCCAAACCCCUGUGAACAUACCUUUAUGUUGCCUCGGCGGAUCAGCCCGCGCCCCGUAAAACGGGACGGCCCGCCGCAGGAAACCCUAAACUCUGUUUUUAGUGGAAACUUCUGAGUAUAAAAACAAAUAAAUCA